Molecule: ribosomal RNA, 657 nt
Filed under: Legionella pneumophila
Lineage: Bacteria; Pseudomonadati; Pseudomonadota; Gammaproteobacteria; Legionellales; Legionellaceae
Description: partial 23S ribosomal RNA
Rfam family: Bacterial large subunit ribosomal RNA
Source: RNAcentral
GGUGAAAGCCCCGUAUACGAAGGUUUGAUGAGGAACUAGGCACGCGAACAAGUAGGCCGGGACACGUGAAAUCCUGGUUGAAGAUGGGUGGACCAUCAUCCAAGGCUAAAUACUACUUACUGACCGAUAGUGAACCAGUACCGUGAGGGAAAGGUGAAAAGAACCCCGGAGAGGGGAGUGAAAUAGAAUCUGAAACCGUUUGCGUACAAGCAGUGGGAGCAUGGUUUAGGCUGUGUGACUGCGUACCUUUUGUAUAAUGGGUCAGCGAGUUACUUUCAGUGGCGAGGUUAACUGAAUAAGGGAGCCGUAGAGAAAUCGAGUCUGAAUAGGGCGAUAGUCGCUGGGAGUAGACCCGAAACCGGGCGAUCUAGCCAUGUGCAGGAUGAAGGUUGGGUAACACCAACUGGAGGUCCGAACCGGGUAAUGUUGAAAAAUUAUCGGAUGACGUGUGGCUAGGAGUGAAAGGCUAAUCAAGCCCGGAGAUAGCUGGUUCUCCCCGAAAGCUAUUUAGGUAGCGCCUCGUGAAUGAUUACUGGGGGUAGAGCACUGUUUCGGCUAGGGGGCUGUCAUGGCUUACCAAACCGAUGCAAACUCCGAAUACCGGCUAAUUGAAUCACGGGAGACACACGGCGGGUGCUAACGUCCGUCGUGGAGAGG